CCCUUAGAUGUUCUGGGCCGCACGCGCGCUACACUGACGAUGGCAACGAGUUUUUCCUUCGCCGAAAGGUGUGGGUAAUCUUUUGAAACGUCGUCGUGCUGGGGAUAGAUCAUUGCAAUUUUUGAUCUUGAACGAGGAAUUCCUAGUAAGCGCGAGUCAUCAGCUCGCGUUGAUUACGUCCCUGCCCUUUGUACACACCGCCCGUCGCUACUACCGAUUGAAUGGUUUAGUGAGGACUCCUGAUUGGCGCCGCCGCCCCGGCAACGGAGCAGCGGACUGCCGAAAAGUUGUUCAAACUUGAUCAUUUAGAGGAAGUAAAAGUCGUAACA
RNAcentral lists this ribosomal RNA (329 nucleotides) under uncultured eukaryote. RNAcentral describes it as "partial 18S ribosomal RNA". It matches the Rfam family "Eukaryotic small subunit ribosomal RNA", at positions 1470 to 1796 of the family's 1831-position model. The record is from RNAcentral.